UAUUUAUCUGUGGAUUGAGCUGAGAGAGAGAGAGUUUUCACCAUCUCCUUUCUCUCUCUCUCACUCUAGGCCGGUUGGGAGCACGGUUGAGCCGGGGAUUCGCCGACGUCGCGCCGCGAGCCGUUCGAGCGAGCGUUUGUUGCCGGGGCAUUGCGAAGAGGCCGGGCGAGGGUGCGUCUUCGCCGUCCUGGACAUCGCGCCGAGGAUUGUCGCUGUUGAGAAUCUACCGUCGACUGUUAGUAUUUCGGCUCGUUCUCCGCGUAGGAGCGUCGGAUCGCGACGAAACUUGGUUCAUUGGAUUCUAGACUGCGAGAGGAUUCCACGGAGCCCUCACUUGCAAUUUUUGGACGAGCUCGGCGACCGGUCUAGGUGGUCCCUGAGGAAUCCAGCAGCAUCGCGGGUGGCCGAGGCUGAGUUCGCUGCCAGGAAAUUGCACUUGAGGUGGGUUACAUCGGUUUUAUCUCCUAAGUUCAU
Molecule: long non-coding RNA, 474 nt
Organism: Ananas comosus (pineapple)
Lineage: Eukaryota; Viridiplantae; Streptophyta; Magnoliopsida; Poales; Bromeliaceae
Exons: 3
Source: RefSeq, a predicted model, not a curated record